Oncorhynchus keta (chum salmon) is the source of this 1524-nucleotide long non-coding RNA. RefSeq lists it as uncharacterized. NCBI's taxonomy places the organism in Eukaryota, Metazoa, Chordata, Actinopteri, Salmoniformes, Salmonidae. The transcript is spliced from 4 exons. The record is from RefSeq and is a predicted model, not a curated record.
AUUCCAUUUAAUAACAGUGUUUUCAUUCUACCAGUAUGGACUGUCAGUAGGUUGGUAUAGUCACCAUUCCAUUUAAUAACAGUGUUUUCAUUCUACCAGUAUGGACUGUCAGUAGGUUGGUAUAGUCACCAUUCCAUUUAAUAACAGUGUUUUCAUUCUACCAGUAUGGACUGUCAGUAGGUUGGUAUAGUCACCAUUCCAUUUAAUAACAGUGUCUUCAUUCUACCAGUAUGGACUGUCAGUAGGUUGGUAUAGUCACCAUUCCAUUUAAUAACAGUGUUUUCAUUCUACCAGUAUGGACUGUCAGUAGGUUGGUAUAGUCACCAUUCCAUUUAAUAACAGUGUUUUCAUUCUACCAGUAUGGACUGUCAGUAGGUUGGUAUAGUCACCAUUCCAUUUAAUAACAGUGUCUUCAUUCUACCAGUAUGGACUGUCAGUAGGUUGGUAUAGUCACCAUUCCAUUUAAUAACAGUGUCUUCAUUCUACCAGUAUGGACUGUCAGUAGGUUGGUAUAGUCACCAUUCCAUUUAAUAACAGUGUCUUCAUUCUACCAGUAUGGACUGUCAGUAGGUUGGUAUAGUCACCAUUCCAUUUAAUAACAGUGUCUUCAUUCUACCAGUAUGGACUGUCAGUAGGUUGGUAUAGUCACCAUUCCAUUUAAUAACAGUGUCUUCAUUCUACCAGUAUGGACUGUCAGUAGGUUGGUAUAGUCACCAUUCCAUUUAAUAACAGUGUUUUCAUUCUACCAGUAUGGACUGUCAGUAGGUUGGUAUAGUCACCAUUCCAUUUAAUAACAGUGUCUUCAUUCUACCAGUAUGGACUGUCAGUAGGUUGGUAUAGUCACCAUUCCAUUUAAUAACAGUGUCUUCAUUCUACCAGUAUGGACUGUCAGUAGGUUGGUAUAGUCACCAUUCCAUUUAAUAACAGUGUUUUCAUUCUACCAGUAUGGACUGUCAGUAGGUUGGUAUAGUCACCAUUCCAUUUAAUAACAGUGUUUUCAUUCUACCAGUAUGGACUGUCAGUAGGUUGGUAUAGUCACCAUUCCAUUUAAUAACAGUGUCUUCAUUCUACCAGUAUGGACUGUCAGUAGGUUGGUAUAGUCACCAUUCCAUUUAAUAACAGUGUCUUCAUUCUACCAGUAUGGACUGUCAGUAGGUUGGUAUAGUCACCAUUCCAUUUAAUAACAGUGUUUUCAUUCUACCAGUAUGGACUGUCAGUAGGUUGGUAUAGUCACCAUUCCAUUUAAUAACAGUGUCUUCAUUCUACCAGUAUGGACUGUCAGUAGGUUGGUAUAGUCACCAUUCCAUUUAAUAACAGUGUUUUCAUUCUACCAGUAUGGACUGUCAGUAGGUUGGUAUAGUCACCAUUCCAUUUAAUAACAGUGUCUUCAUUCUACCAGUAUGGACUGUCAGUAGGUUGGUAUAGUCACCAUUCCAUUUAAUAACAGUGUUUUCAUUCUACCAGUAUGGACUGUCAGUAGGUUGGUAUAGUCACCAUUCCAUUUAAUAACAGUGUCUUCAUUCU